GGAUGUGAGGACCAUCAGGCUGUGACAUCUGCCACCCCAUUCAUUGCCAGGAUUGAUUCUGCUGGUCUGGCUAACUAGGCGGGUGUCCCCUUCCUCCCUCACCUCUCCACGUGCGUCCCUCCCGAAGCUACAAGCUCGAUCAAAGAGAAUGGAUGACCUUCCUUGAAUAGAGACCCACCGGUCUUCGGCAGAGAGUAUAGAGUAGUUGUGCUUCCCUGCUAGAACCUCCAAACAAGCUCUCAAGGUCCAGACUCGCCUAGCUUGCCACUGCUUCCUGGUAUUUUGGGCCUUCGAAAGCAGACCUGCAACUUAGCUUUUUAAA
Molecule: unclassified non-coding RNA, 322 nt
Organism: Erinaceus europaeus (western European hedgehog)
Lineage: Eukaryota; Metazoa; Chordata; Mammalia; Eulipotyphla; Erinaceidae
Gene: 7SK
Rfam family: 7SK RNA
About the family: 7SK was discovered as an abundant small nuclear RNA in the mid-70s but a possible function has only recently been suggested. Two independent studies have found that 7SK RNA binds the CDK9/cyclin T complex (known as elongation factor P-TEFb).
Source: Ensembl